GGUUAAGCGAAUAAGCGUACACGGUGGAUGCCUAGGCAAUCAGAGGCGAUGAAGGACGUGCUAAUCUGCGAUAAGCGUCGGUAAGGUGAUAUGAACCGUUAUA
Molecule: ribosomal RNA, 103 nt
Filed under: Proteus mirabilis
Lineage: Bacteria; Pseudomonadati; Pseudomonadota; Gammaproteobacteria; Enterobacterales; Morganellaceae
Also listed under: 1 other name
Description: partial 23S ribosomal RNA
Rfam family: Bacterial large subunit ribosomal RNA
Source: RNAcentral